Molecule: ribosomal RNA, 224 nt
Filed under: uncultured bacterium
Lineage: Bacteria
Description: partial 16S ribosomal RNA
Rfam family: Bacterial small subunit ribosomal RNA
Source: RNAcentral
AGAAGCCAUCCCAGUUCGGAUUGCAGGCUGAAACCCGCCUGUAUGAAGUUGGAAUCGCUAGUAAUCGCGGAUCAGCAUGCCGCGGUGAAUACGUUCCCGGGCCUUGUACACACCGCCCGUCACACCAUGAGAGUCGGGAACACCCGAAGUCCGUAGCCUAACCGCGAAGGGGGGCGCGGCCGAAGGUGGGUUCGAUAAUUGGGGUGAAGUCGUAACAAGGUAAC